RNAcentral lists this transfer RNA (67 nucleotides) under Thermoprotei archaeon. RNAcentral's name for it is "tRNA-Gly". It matches the Rfam family "tRNA". Rfam says of the family: Transfer RNA (tRNA) molecules are approximately 80 nucleotides in length. Their secondary structure includes four short double-helical elements and three loops (D, anti-codon, and T loops). Lineage: Archaea; Thermoproteati; Thermoproteota; Thermoprotei. The record is from RNAcentral.
CCCGUAGCUCAGCCAGGCAGAGCGUCGGACCGCCCACCCGAAGGUCGGGGGUUCAAAUCCCCCCGGG